Molecule: long non-coding RNA, 5187 nt
Filed under: Gossypium raimondii (Peruvian cotton)
Lineage: Eukaryota; Viridiplantae; Streptophyta; Magnoliopsida; Malvales; Malvaceae
Description: long non-coding RNA (GRAI_LNC002466)
Source: RNAcentral
GACAAGUAUCAUCAAACACUUUCCAUUCAUUCUCAUUCCUAUCCCACCACACCACUAGGUCAAGUCCCAAUACUUUCUUAGCAUGGGGUACCCUCUUAUCCAAAUCACAUAUUGGCAUCACCGGGAACCAAUGUGAGUACCAAUCGAAUCUCUUUUUCUCGCGACCAUCAGCCUCAAGUUCCAGCAUAGGUGGCUCAAUGGACUCCAUUGUUGAUGCCGGGGAUGAUGAUAACAUCAUAAACAACCUCGAUUUCGAUCCAUUUCUUUCAAACAAUGUGAAAGAUGAAUCGAACACAAUUAAUUUUAACUUUAAAUGGUGAAAGAUGGGUUUAGGAAAUUGGGUUUUGUUUCUUCUUGUUGUUGUUGAAAUGUAUGGUGGAUGAAUAAGGGUAGAAGAAGAAGCUCUAAGAACAUCCAUGGCUGACUAUCUUCCUUUUUUUUCCUUCGGCUUUCAACACUCACUGGUUCUUCAAAGCUAAUAUCCAUGUAUCAUUCAUUAUAUAUACUAGUUCCAUGCAUGCAUACAUCAACUUAUGGUAAUUAACAAUAUACAUAAGGUAAACACAUACAUAUUAACCAAAUAUGUGUAUACAUAUAUAAAUAUUAACCUAAUAUAUAUUACGGUAAUUAUGGUAACAAUAUCUAUAUAAUGCUAUAUAUUAGGAUAAUUACGGUACUUAGUAAUUAUGGUAACAAUAUCUAACACCCAAUUUUUUUUCCAUUUUACAAAGUUUUAUUUAAAAAAAUAAACACAUUAUAGUUUUUUAACACGUGUUACAUUUCAUUUAAACAACUUAUUUUUGUUGAUUGAGUCUUAGAUCGUUUGACAUGAAUAUUGUUAACAAUGCAAGAAGACAUGGGUUUAAAUGCGUUAAAAUAUAUUAUCAUCUUAUUGUGAAACGUAUUUUGUUAACCACCCCAUUUUACGAAUCGAGGUUGAAUGAGUAAAUUGUUUUCUUGUUAUUUUAUUUUGUUCAACUGAAUUAAUUUUGUAUACUCUUUAUAUUUAUCGCUUUAUUUAUGGUUAACUGGUAUUAAUAAAUUAUGUAGUUUGUGAGUUAAGUCAAUUGGUUGAAGCCAUUCGCAUGCUUUCCCGUGAGUUCAAUAUCUAAAAUAUUUCAUAACGAAUUUAUCUCAUUAUAAUUAUUACAUCACAAUGAUAUUAAUCACAUAAAUUUGUCAUUGUGAUCACUCUUUUCAGCUUCUUGAUGAACAAUUUUUUUUUUUUUUACAUUACCCUUUACAUAAUCUUGUUCUAGCAAAAACUUUGUAAGCCUUUCAUACUAAGCCCAUAAGGUUUGCUUCAAGCCAUAUAAGGCCUUAGUGAGCUUAUAAAUACUUAUAACUUGAAAUACGUUCAAAACAUCAAACAUAAAUAUCUUCUUACCUUUUCAUCAACGGAAAAGAGAAUGGAUGGGCAAGGAUUGAUGUUAUAAAUGGCAUUCACUUUCACACUCAUUCGAAGUGUCAUCCACCAAGCAAUCGAUCAAACCCCUAACAAUUGUUCCAUGUUGAGGUUUUGUCCCCAGCUUCACUCAGAGCAAUGUACAGUUCAUGAAGGGAGGAGCUUUGGUUGGUGGAGAUACAACCUAUAAUAGCUCAUGAGACAGGUGUUUGUAUUGCGCGUAACAUUAAUUAUAGAGAAUGCGUGCGGGAGAAUUCAAACCACCAACAACUUAAAGAGAACAUUCGAUUGGUGCAAGCGAUUCGAUUUGAGAAGGCUAUACAAUAAUGAUUUUAACAGCUCAAUGAUUUUGUAACUCUUUUUUAAUAAAAUUUUGGUAUAGGAAAAAAAAAAAGAAGUGUUGAACUAGAUUUAACCCUGCAUACAAAGUAAAGGGUGUCAUAUUCUCAUCAAAUAACACAAAAUCUUUCAAUGAAAGGCAUGGUUAUAACCAUGGUAAUGGAAGUUCUUGUAGAUGAAAUGAGCCAACCAUUUGGAAGCUGCAAAGCAAAUGAUAGCCAUUGAUACCAUUGUUGUUUUAGCCACCAUUGACAUAAUCUUCUGCUUUGUUACAGCAAUGAUGCCAAUCAAGACAACCGACAUGAUUUGCAGCAUUACUUCGAGUGCCUUGAGACCUUCAUAUGCACUAUUACAACUCUUACAAUUCACUACAUGACUCCAAUACCUACACACCAAAAAAAUGCUUCUUGUUAAACUAUGUUACUCAUGGUGGCUUGCACAUGGAAGUCAAGAUUGUAGGGAUUAAUGUACAUAUUCAAUACAUGUAUGCUCAUUCUUUUUACAUCUAGUUCAUAUGUUAGGAAUAUUGCACCUAUACUUAUGUCUGACUGUGUAUGGGGCACAGGUUCUCCAAAAGAAAUGAAGAGCGAUGGGUAUAAGUAUCCAAAUUUUCAUGUUCGGAAUGUUUGGAUAUAUACUCGUAUACUUGAAGAAAAAUGAAGAGUCGAAAGUUAUUAAAUUUACCUGUCCAUCAGUUGUUCUCUAGGAGGGGAUGGAGGAAGAGCUCCACUAUACUUCCCUUUCCAGUCAAUCUCACCGCCGGCAUACUUGUUGAACCACCUCCGGAAGCCAACCACCGUAGCAUCUGACUUUGUAGGCAAAAAACAAGCUUUUUGCCAAUUGGUAGCCCCAAUUUCCAUUAUCUUACGCUCCUACAAGGAGAAAUAGGUUGUCAACUUGCAUAAACAUGAUUAAAAACAGUUUCCAGUUCGUUAACAUAUGCCAUAGAUCUCUGUACUCUUCACAGAUUCGAGUACUUAGUAAUAAAAAAAUAAAAAAUUCAAAGCAUCAAAGAGCCAGAGAUAUAGGAAUCACCUCAACAUGAAGAAGAUACAAAUCAGAAUCAAGAACCAAGUUUACUCCAAUGUGAAACAUCCAUCUUGGAACAAUUUGGUCAAUCCAAACGCCAAAUUUUCUUGGGAAAAUCCAAAUCAAUCUACUAUUACCUGGACUAACUGGAACACACAUAAAAAUCAACAUAAGUCUGUGAUUUUCUUCAUCAACCUCAGCAUCAGCAAAAGUAUGGAUGAUACAAGGAGCAAUAAAGUUAGAAUUGCCCCAUUCUUGUUCAACAAAACCAUUUAUAUCCAACUUCUUGACUUUCAUAUCAAGUGGUCUACCCCCUUCUCUAUCAACCUUCACUGUGAACAAAAAAUUACAAUUUUAGAUAUGGUAAAAAAAACCCUCUCGAUUUUGAUAUUGAGCAAUUCAAUCCCUCUCAAAAAAAUCGGAGCAAUUUAAUCUCUGUCAAUUUCGAAAGUCAGCAAAUAAGGAUAAUUAAUCACAAGAUUAAUGUUUUUCGUCAAUUUUACAUAAAUUUGACUAGUAUAAUAAAAAAUUUAGCUCUUAUAAUUUACACGUUCUAUCAAUUCGAUCAUUGAUUUAACAAAUUUAGCCCAUAUAUAUAUAUAUAUAUAUAUAUAUAUAUAUUUGUAAAUGUGUAAGUAUUGAGGCUAAAUUAGUUGAAUUUUUUAAAAUCAAGACAAAAUUAAGAAAAUAUGUAAACGAUGAGGGCUAAAUUUAUUAUUAUACCAAUCAAAAUUAUACAUAAUUGGCGAAAUACAUUAACCCAUGAUUGCUCUAUUAUUUUUCAAAGGGACUAACUUGUUCAAUUUCGAAUUUGAGAGAGACUAGAGAAAUCUUUUUACCUAUACGUGAAUUUCAUAUCUCAAAAUACAUUAAGAACUUCUUACCCUUAGGGGUCGGAGUGCGGAUGAUUCCGUAAUGUGCAUAUGGAAGAUGAGCAAAAUCCAUAAGAUUUUCAGUCAAGAACUCAUACCUGAAACCACAAAAUUAGAUUCUCGAACAAAUUUCAGUUUCCAUAAAUUAUAUUACUCUUAACUCUUUAUUUUUCUUGAAGUACCCGAAAGGAAGAUCUCUGUUUCCCAUCCACUUUGAAAAUGAAGGAUCAUCUAAUACAGGAAUGUAAGGAGGCUUUUUCUUUGUUAUAAUAUCUUUGUAUUGAGGAUCAGCAUUUGGCCAAACCCAUACAAUAUCAUGUUGCACAACACUUGGAUAAACAGCCACACAUGCUUUCUUGAAUGUAUGGACCUGCAAUUUUGAAAACCAACGUUACCCCCUUUUGCCAACAAUGCCACACACUAUACAUCACAUGACAUUGCUCAAAAUGAACCAUGGUUACACUAUCAACAUUGUAAGAAGAGGAUCAGAUAUAUCUAUAUACAUAGAGAUGUUCAUGGGCCGCGUCGAGUUGGGUUCGGACUUGACCUACGUAUGAUAUUAAUACAUUUUAUAUUUGUCAAGGUCCAGUCCAACCUGAAAUAUGAACUUAAAAUACUCAUAUUUGUAAAUAGUUAACCCAAGUUCAUUUUAAAUUCAAUCAUAUUGUUUUUAAAAAAAAAUUAAAAAAUACCUUUAUAUUAUUUUUAAUUUAUAUCUAAUAAUUUUAUAUGUAACCAUCUUAACAUUUUUAAUCUCUACAUUAUAGUAAUAUUACAUUUUUAUGUGUUAUAAAUUAUAUAAUAUAAAACAUUACAAAUUUCCUUGAAUAUUCAAGCCUAAGUUCACCCUAUUUUUUAUCCUAAUACUUUUGCUCGGGCCCCAAAUUUCGAACGAACCUUUAGAUUGAGUGGAUAACUUGACCCAUAAACAGAUCUAAAUAUACGCAUAUAUAUGCUUUAUAGAAAGUAACUCAGGUGAUCCAAUAUCAUAUGUCCAACAUAAAUAUGCUUAUAAAUAUGACACACAAGUUCAAGACUAUGGCUCCUGGAUACUCAGCAUGCUUGUGCCAGAUACAUACAUGUAUCCAACAUCACACCCGAGUUUCAAGUAAUAUAAUCAUCCAUACCUUUGUAACAGUCCUAACAUUAGAACAGCAAAAAGAACAUAAUUAAACAUGAUGAUAUGAACUAAAAAAAAGGGUUACCGGGGGUCCAUCUAAGGGAGCUUGAGGAAUGAUUUUGCAAUCACCAUUGCCAUUAAAGCACCAACCAUGGUACACACACUGUAAUCUCCCCCAUUGAUCAAUUCUUCCCUCAGAUAAAGGAGCUAAUCUAUGAGGACAAGUAUCAUCAAACACUUUCCAUUCAUUCUCAUUCUUAUCCCACCACACAACUAGAUCAAGUCCCAAUACCUUCUUACCAUGUGGCACCCUCUUAUCCAAAUCACAUACUGGCAUCACCGGGUACCACUGUGAGUACCAAUCCAAUCUCUCUUUCUCGCGACCGUCAGCCUCAAGUUCCGGCAUAGGUGGCUCGAUGGAC